RNAcentral lists this ribosomal RNA (625 nucleotides) under uncultured fungus. RNAcentral describes it as "eukaryotic LSU rRNA". It matches the Rfam family "Eukaryotic large subunit ribosomal RNA", at positions 24 to 664 of the family's 3401-position model. The record is from RNAcentral. Lineage: Eukaryota; Fungi.
CCCGCUGAACUUAAGCAUAUCAAUAAGCGGAGGAAAAGAAACCAACAGGGAUUGCCUCAGUAACGGCGAGUGAAGCGGCAACAGCUCAAAUUUGAAAUCUGGCUCUUUCAGGGUCCGAGUUGUAAUUUGUAGAGGAUGCUUCGGCGUGGGCUCCGGUCUAAGUUCCUUGGAACAGGACGUCACAGAGGGUGAGAAUCCCGUAUGUGAUCGGUUGCCUUUGCCUUGUGAAGCUCCUUCGACGAGUCGAGUUGUUUGGGAAUGCAGCUCUAAAUGGGAGGUAAAUUUCUUCUAAAGCUAAAUACUGGCCAGAGACCGAUAGCGCACAAGUAGAGUGAUCGAAAGAUGAAAAGCACUUUGGAAAGAGAGUCAAAAAGUACGUGAAAUUGUUGAAGGGGAAGCGCUUGCAACCAGACCUGCCUGCAGUUGCUCAUCCGGGCUUUCGCCCGGUGCACUCUUCUGCUGUCAGGCCAGCAUCGGUUCGGGCGGUCGGAUAAAGGCUUCGGGAAUGUAGCUCCUCUCGAGGAGUGUUAUAGCCCGUUGCGAAAUGCGGCCAGCCUGAACUGAGGUCCGCGCUUCGGCUAGGAUGCUGGCGUAAUGGUUGUAAGCGGCCCGUCUUGAAACACGG